CAAGCCUUGCAGCGAUGCAUGGCUAAACUGUCAGAAGUCAGCAGAGGCCAUACUACCAGGAUGGAUAUAUACACCCUGGGAAGGGC
Sporomusa sphaeroides DSM 2875 is the source of this 86-nucleotide non-coding RNA. Lineage: Bacteria; Bacillati; Bacillota; Negativicutes; Selenomonadales; Sporomusaceae. The record is from Rfam.